UACGUAGGGGGCAAGCGUUGUCCGGAUUUAUUGGGCGUAAAGAGCGUGUAGGCGGCUUGGUAGGUCCGCUGUGAAAACUCGAGGCUCAACCUCGAGAUGUCGGCGGAAACCACUUGGCUAGAGUCCGGAAGAGGAGAGUGGAAUUCCCGGUGUAGCGGUGGAAUGCGCAGAUAUCGGGAAGAACACCUAUGGCGAAGGCAGCUCUCUGGGACGGUACUGACGCUGAGACGCGAAAGCGUGGGGAGCGAACAGG
Molecule: ribosomal RNA, 253 nt
Filed under: uncultured bacterium
Lineage: Bacteria
Description: partial 16S ribosomal RNA
Rfam family: Bacterial small subunit ribosomal RNA
Source: RNAcentral